CAUCUCUCAGGGUCGCACCCGGAGAGCUUCCAGUCCUCUACCAGUCUCGACUACCUGAGGGAGAGUCAAGCAGAGGCCUACCCAUUCCACUCCUAGCUUGAGCAGUAGCUAGAGAGUGGAAAGCAAUCCGCUACAAGU
This is a small nucleolar RNA of Ornithorhynchus anatinus (platypus), 138 nucleotides long. The record is from RefSeq and is a predicted model, not a curated record. NCBI's taxonomy places the organism in Eukaryota, Metazoa, Chordata, Mammalia, Monotremata, Ornithorhynchidae.